RNAcentral lists this ribosomal RNA (360 nucleotides) under Triticum aestivum (bread wheat). RNAcentral's name for it is "partial small subunit ribosomal RNA". Lineage: Eukaryota; Viridiplantae; Streptophyta; Magnoliopsida; Poales; Poaceae. The record is from RNAcentral.
AUGUGUAAUGUCCGUUUUCGCUCCCUUUGCUGUUGUUGCUCCUGUUUGUUCUGUACCCUGUACAUAAUGUGCUUGCUGAAGUUGAUAAACUUGCACAUCACACCAACUGCUUACCUCGACAAACACUUAAAUAGACAAAACAUGUGGAUUGGCUAUGCAUUAACUUUGAAAGGAAUGCCAGCUAAGAGAAGUUCUUUUAUCUGCAACGGUGAGGGCGGAAGAGAUAUAUGUUCCAUUCAUUUAUCACCAACGAAUCUUCAACAAGUAAAAAGUACAGGAAGAAAGACUGCAUCCUGUCGGAAGUAUGUUUCUUUCUGGUCAAUUAUAGGAAAUUUGUGUCCAGUCAAGACCUUAACUUAG